GGGCUUGACAUCCCACGAACCUGCUGAAAGGGAGGAGUGCCCGCAAGGGAGCGCGGACACAGGUGGUGCAUGGCUGUCCUCGGCUCGUGUCGUGAGAUGUUGGGUUAACUCCCGCGACGAGCGCAACCCUCACCCCUUGUUGCUACCAGGUAAAGCUGGGCACUCUAGGGGAACUGCCCCGGUCAACGGGGAGGAAGGUGGGGAUGACGUCAAGUCAUCAUGCCCCUUACGUCCUGGGCUACACGACUGCUACAAUGGCCGGUACUCAGGGAUGCCGCACCUGGAGGUACACCUAAACCCAAAAAGCCGGUCUAAGUUCAGAUUGGAGUCUGCGACUCGACUCCUUGAAGGAGGAAUCGCUAGUAAUCGCGUAUCAACACGACGCGGUGAAUACGUUCCCGGGCCUUGUACACACCUGCCGUCACACCACCAAAGCUGUCUGUACUCGAAGUCGCUGAG
This 459-nucleotide ribosomal RNA is filed under the name uncultured Methylomirabilota bacterium. RNAcentral describes it as "bacterial SSU rRNA". It matches the Rfam family "Bacterial small subunit ribosomal RNA", at positions 977 to 1434 of the family's 1533-position model. Lineage: Bacteria; Methylomirabilota (SeqCode). The record is from RNAcentral.